Molecule: long non-coding RNA, 2194 nt
Filed under: Mus musculus (house mouse)
Lineage: Eukaryota; Metazoa; Chordata; Mammalia; Rodentia; Muridae
Description: RIKEN cDNA 4930507D05 gene (4930507D05Rik)
Source: RNAcentral
AGACAUCCACAUCAGGUCAAUGGCAAGUCCUCACUGUUUAAUCCCUCCAUGAGGACUCUAGGAGCACAAGCGGCGCACCACUUAGGGACAAAACUCUUAACCUCCUCGACCGAAGAGAACGGUCAAUGUCAACUACAGAAGAGACUAAAUAUGACUUAGGCUCGGGUGCUAAGGGCUCCAAAAAGGAACAGACAUUGCACUAUGUAGGCCCAGGCUGCAGACCCUGCCGCUCUGCCGGGAGGCUCCAGCACUCACUCUUGUCUAGAGGCCGAGUGAGCUCCGCGCCCACGUCGCCAUCGGCGCUGGGACCCUGAGGCUUCACCGUCAGCGGCACGAACAAGGACGUGUUCGGGGCUUUGGAGCCACCAGAGGCAGAGGAGGAGGCGGCCAAGCAGGGAACGCGUCCUGAAGCCCCCGGGAACGACCCCACGAGAGCGCGAAGGGCGGAGCAAGGGGCCGCCCGGGGCCCAGCCCCGCGCCCCGCCGGGAGCCGAGCCCACAGCAAGGUACACCGAGGCAAGGACAUUGAGGCCGCGGCUCGAAUGGAGCCGGGGAAAAUCCGGACCACUGGCGCCGCUCGGUGACGUAGCUCCGGCGCCCGCGGAGCGAAAGGACCCAGAGAGACACAGGGCUGCCCCCGCGUGCGCCUGAAGGAAAAGGAGAUGGAAGGGUUGGGAGCGCGCCUCUUCGUGGGAGCACGACCUCUGUACGUUACAGUGGCAGAAACGAGCUCCCAUCCUCUCACUCUUUCUGCGGCAAUUGGCAGCGUCUUUCUCGAAAGAAGGGAAAGUAAUCAGGCAUCUUAAGGGAUGUUACAGAUGCGCGGAAGGGAACCGUACAAGCGUCGUCAUGUGACCAAACUGUCUAUCCUGCAUCAUGUGGCUUCAAACGCUAAAGUGCAUUUCCAAGAAGAUUGGUGCAUUAAUAUCCGUAGUUUCCUGAUAGGAUAACGUUAGAGGACGUAGCUUGAUCUGCUACAGAUCAAGACGGGUUGCAGAGAAAUCCGGUUGUACGAUAACUGGCGCUUACGUGACACGUGUGUCAAUACACGUGCUUCUCUCCUUGGUGCUAGGGCUCCAUGUAGGGGCCAUGAGCAAGCUAGGCAUGUGCUCCACCAUGAGCUGCAGAAUUCAGUUAACGUGAGCAGUUUGUACUCCUCGCAUCUCGAAAGUUAUAACCACAAAGUAUGCUCUGUGUACCUGGUUAAAGUUUGAUCUUACUCCUAUCUACUACAGCACUCGGUCCCACCCGAGUUGUAAGGAAAGAGGUGCCUCUGUUCGUUCCGUCUGGGCGUGACCAUUCAGUUCUUGGCCGGCCAAACACUAGGAGGGAAGCCAUGUGUGGCGACGUUCCCUCAGUCCUCUGCCGAGAGGUCCCCAACACCAUCUAGUUUCUGAGUUCAGGAGCCGUUCGGUUUUUAGAAAAUUGGACCCAGUAACAACUUCGUUCGUUCGGUGUCUGGUGGUCCUCAUUCCAACCCGCGCCAUCGGUCAAUCCUCUGUCUCUAUCCCUUCUUGACAAGUUUUCUGAUUUCAGAAAAUGAGUUGCGGGAUAUGGCUUCGGAGUCAAAGCUCUAAAACCAUCUGGUGCUAAGUCAAAACCCUCAAAGUUCGGACCCUGAACUCGAAUGGCCUUCCUUCUCUGAAAUUGAUCGAGGGUCUUUCGAUCUCAACUGCACUUAUUCUAUCCGCAGAGUCUGCAGUAAUAAUAUGGGUAGGCCUCCUUGAGAACCCUCCUUGGUGAGAGGCUCAUGGGUUUGGUUCAUUUGGCAAACGAACAAGGUCAGGUUUAUUGGUGCAGCUCUUGGACCAAGGACCCAUGAUGGACGAUUCUUAAGAGUCCUGAGCAAGGGGAAAGGUUGUGUGUCAGACAAGAGCUGGCUUUUUUUUCCCCAUGUAAGGUCAUGACUCAAGUGCCUGGUGAUCAUUCAGGAGAAGGGCUGUGGCUACCUGGAACUCGGUUUCGGCACCAUCGGUGGGGGUGGGGCUGUAGCGAGCUGGAGCCUAACACCUGGGUUAAGACUUUGUCCUUGGGCUGGAGAGAUGAUGGUUCCGUGGUUAAGAGCACUAGCUGCUCUUGUAGAGACUUGGGCUCCCAACUGUCUGUAUCUUCUGUACCCCCUCACACAGACAUGCAGUCAAAGCACCAAUGUAUAUAAAAUUUAAAAAUUAAAUUAAAAAAAAUGUUGAGCUGG